This 199-nucleotide unclassified non-coding RNA is filed under the name fungal sp. RNAcentral describes it as "partial contains small subunit ribosomal RNA, internal transcribed spacer 1, and 5.8S ribosomal RNA". The stretch from base 1 to 46 matches the Rfam family "Eukaryotic small subunit ribosomal RNA", at positions 1786 to 1831 of the family's 1831-position model. The record is from RNAcentral. Lineage: Eukaryota; Fungi.
AAGUCGUAACAAGGUAACCGUAGGUGAACCUGCGGUUGGAUCAUUACAAAUCCUGACUCGCAAGAGUCUUCAACCCCAUGUGCACUCGUUAUUGUUUCUGGGUGUCCUGUUUAAGGCGCCCAAUCUUAUAAAUCUUACUAUCUGUCUGAUAUUUUAAAUAAUAAAAAAACAACUUUUGACAACGGAUCUCUUGGCUCUC